AGGAAGAGGAGAACGGAGCCGAAGAAGAGGAGGAGGAGGAGACAGCCGAGGAUGGAGAGGAGGAUGAUGAAGGGGAGGAUGAAGAAGAGGACGGCGACGAGGACGAGGAGGAGGGUGAAGGGCCCGCACUGAAGAGAGCCGCCGAGGAUGAGGAUGAAGCGGCUCCCAAGAGGCAGAAGACAGAGAACGGGGCUUCCGCGUGAACCCCAGCCCGCUGGGCCGGGCUGGGGAUGGGGGCAGGGAGGUCGCGGGGGAGGGGGCCGGGAGAGCCGUCCCAC
Molecule: long non-coding RNA, 278 nt
Organism: Ornithorhynchus anatinus (platypus)
Lineage: Eukaryota; Metazoa; Chordata; Mammalia; Monotremata; Ornithorhynchidae
Exons: 3
Source: RefSeq, a predicted model, not a curated record